AAGCGCUUGCAACCAGACUUGCACCCCGUCGAUCAUCCCCCGUUCUCGGAGGUGCACUCGGCGGGGUUCAGGCCAGCAUCGGUUUUGGUGGUGGGAUAAAGGCCUUGGGAACGUAGCUCCUCUCGGGGAGUGUUAUAGCCCUCGGUGCAAUGCCGCCUACCGGGACCGAGGACCGCGCUUCGGCUAGGAUGCUGGCGUAAUGGUUGUAAGCGA
Molecule: ribosomal RNA, 213 nt
Filed under: Hymenoscyphus scutula
Lineage: Eukaryota; Fungi; Ascomycota; Leotiomycetes; Helotiales; Helotiaceae
Description: partial large subunit ribosomal RNA
Source: RNAcentral